Molecule: ribosomal RNA, 468 nt
Filed under: uncultured bacterium
Lineage: Bacteria
Description: partial 16S ribosomal RNA
Rfam family: Bacterial small subunit ribosomal RNA
Source: RNAcentral
GACGAACGCUGGCGGCGUGCUUAACACAUGCAAGUCGAACGGAAAGGCCCUGCUUUUGUGGGGUGCUCGAGUGGCGAACGGGUGAGUAACACGUGAGUAACCUGCCCUUGACUUUGGGAUAACUUCAGGAAACUGGGGCUAAUACCGGAUAGGAGCUCCUGCUGCAUGGUGGGGGUUGGAAAGUUUCGGCGGUUGGGGAUGGACUCGCGGCUUAUCAGCUUGUUGGUGGGGUAGUGGCUUACCAAGGCUUUGACGGGUAGCCGGCCUGAGAGGGUGACCGGCCACAUUGGGAGUGAGAUACGGCCCAGACUCCUACGGGAGGCAGCAGUGGAGAGUAAUGAACAAUGGGCGGAAACCUGAUGCAGCAACGACGCGUGCGAGAUGACGACCUUAGGGUUGUAAACCGCUUACGCCUGUGACGAAGCGUGAGUGACGGUAAUGGGUAAAGAAGCAAAGGCUAACUACGUG